Molecule: non-coding RNA, 90 nt
Organism: Nicotiana attenuata
Lineage: Eukaryota; Viridiplantae; Streptophyta; Magnoliopsida; Solanales; Solanaceae
Source: Rfam
UUUGCAAGUGAUGAUAAAACAGACAGGGACAUCAGACCUUCAUUAAAUGGAGAAUGAUGACUAGUCUAAUGGGAAUCUCUCUGAUGCAAA